CUCAAAGAUUAAGCCAUGCAAGUGGUUAUUAUACCCGACAGUUUAAAUAAGUGUUAUUUACAACAAAACAAAAAAGUGAUUAUAUCACUUACGCAACUGCAGACAGCUGCUUAAUACAGUCACACUUGUCUUGACUUGGCGCAACCUUAAAAAAUUUGAAUCUUUAUACACACACACAAACAAAAUGAUUCAUUUUUUUUUUACCCACGUUUGGUGAUUUCUCUGUGCAAUAAUUUACAUUAAUGCACAACGUGAUUUAUUCAAUUUUUGGAUAACUCAGGGAAAGUUUGGCUAAUACGUACGAGUUACUAUAUUUAAUACACCAUACUUUAAUUUUUACUCAGCACUUAUUGGUAAAUUUUGGCAUUACAUUAUUUAUUCAAUGUUUUGUCAGUUUAAAAUUUAACUGCAACAUGAGAGACAAUAAGUACGCAUUUACAAUGAAUUUAUUCACUGUAAUACACGCUGAGCAGACUUUACGAAGUUUACUUUGUGAAGCAGGUCAUACAAGCAUCUACAGCAUCAAGUCACAGGGUUGGCAAGUGUUUUUUUGAACCUUCAGAGCAGUCACGCAUACGGAAGAGUAGUUUCUGAUCCCAUAGAAGGAGCAUAGUACAUUGAGAGACCGCUCUUAGUUCUAAGGAACGCAGCAGGCGCGUAAAUUGCCCAAUGCUAGUACCCUACAAAAUUACUGGUUAAUAAACAAUUUACUAAAAAUUACAAAAUAUGUAAUAACACACUUUUUAAUACUGUAAUUUUUAUUUAUAUUAUCCUUGUUCAUUAACUUCACGUAAAUUUAUUUUUUUACUGAGGCAGUGACAAGCUGUAACGGUUGAGUAUAAAAAUGACGAGUGUCUGGCAUUGCCGUCUGCUUUUGUAGGCUUGGCAGUUCGCCGACGCUUUGUGUGCUCAAUUGGAAUGCGGUGAGUUUAAGCAACUCAGAACCUUUGGAUGGUGUUUUAUUUUACUAUAUUAUACUGUUCAUGUAUCUGAAUUUCAAGUGGAGGGCAAGUCUGGUGCCAGCAGCCGCGGUAAUACCAGCUCCACUGGCCUAUACAAUCAUUGUUGCGNUAAAAAGNUNGNGUUGGAUUGAACCAUAAUUUNUUUUCUAUAAAUUUAUUAUUUACUGAAAAUAUUUCAACGACACACACACAAACAAACAAUACUUUACAUUAAUUUGUAUUUUAUAUUAUUACUUGAAAUAUAUUUUCAUUGUUAAAAAAAUGAAUUUAUUUUUUCUUUCAACACUGUGAACAAAUCAGAGUGUAUCAAACAUGUCAUUUUUGAAUGUGCAUUGAAUGUCUUAUCAUGGAAUGUUGCACUUUUAUAAUUCAAAAAUUUAAUUGUUUAAAACACACUCAAUAUGAAUACAAUUUUAAUUUUUGUUGUUUAUAAAAAAUGUCGAUGGGGAUAGUUGGAGUCAAUGAUACUGCUUGGNGAGAGGUGAAAUUCAUUGACCCAAGCAAGAUCACCAAAAGCGAAAGCAAUUGGCUAGGCUAUACUCUUUGUGAUUUUAUUAAUUUUUAAAUGUGAGUCAAUAUUUACACACACACUUUUUUAAUAUUGCUUACACACAAAAUUAUUUAAACACUUUACAAUGAAGAACGAAGNNUGGGGGAUCAAAGAGGAUCAGAUACCCUCGUCGUCCCAUUAAUUACUGAAAACGAUGGACUCUCAAUUGCAUUUUAUUUUUAGAAUGUUUAAUGCCCUCAGCCUACAAAAAUAACUUGGCUUGAGCUUGUACUCUUUUAUACGCUCGCCUAAUCAUUCUAAUGUACGGUCUCGAUGGACGUUUCAUUUUAAUAUGAAAUUUAUUUUCAAUUUGCGUGUAAGCAAUUUUGUUUUCCUAAUUAUAAAUUAAUUUUGGAACUCAUUGCGUGCACUUGAUUUUCGGAGCUUUGCGCUCAAUUCUGGUGAGAUGUAAGCAUCAUGUUACUCUUACCCGCUAUGAAUUAACUUUUGCAUUUUAUGUAAUUAUUAAUUUCAUUUGUCGUGUGUUAAGGUAACAAAUUUUAUUAUAAAUAAAUGAUGUGAAGCACGCUUUAGNCACGCGCUUACUGCAGAAAUGUCUGAGACUUUUUUCUCCGGGGGUAGUAUGCACGCAAGUGUGAAACUUGAAGGAAUUGACGGAAGGGCACCACAAGAACGCGUGGAGCAUGUGGCUUAAUUUGACUCAACACGAGAAAUCUUACCGGGUCCGGACACACUGAGGAUUGACAGGUAUUAUCAAUAAUUAUUUUACUUNAUGUUAAAAAUUCAAUNAUUGUGUUAAAUAUGCUAGUCCUUUCAUGAUUAUGUGAUAGGUGGUGCAUGGCCGUUCUUAGUUCGUGGAGUGAUCUGUCUGCUUAAUUGCGUUUCACUAAGGGCUUAAAAUUAUGUGCUUUAAUAUUGACCCCUCAAUUUUUAAUUGAGUGUGUUGUCUUUAUUGGUACUUCUAAGCUCUGAAAGCAACGAACGUGACCGCAACCCUUUGUUGCCUUUACUAAAAUUUUAUUUUUUUAUAAAAUAUAAUUAAAAAGGCUUUUUAAACUAGGGGGACCGCUGUAAUCUUUUUAAACCAGAGGAAGGUUGCGGCAAUAACAGGUCUGUGAUGCCCUUAGAUGUUCCGGGCUGCACACGUGCUACAAUGAUUUUUGCAGUGAGCAUCUCAUUUUUAAUACAUCGCUUGCAUGAUGCUUUAUAUUUAAAUUUAUUUUUAUUUAUUUCGUUCAUUUUUGCGCGAUAAAGCCUGCUUCGAAAGUAAGUGGGUAAUCAAUUAGAAGUAAAGAUUUCCAAAUUUUAUAGCACAAAUAUAUACGGCAUUUUUACCCGGCUUUUUCAUUUCGAAUUAGUUUUGUGUGUAUUAAUGAGUUCCUUUGUAUAGUUUGUCUUUUAUGGCAUUCUUAUACAGUACUUUAUCGUAUGUGCAAUUGUCAAUUCAUGGUGGGGACAGACCAUUGUUAAUUGUUGGUCUCGGUUUCAACUAGGAAUGCCUUGUACGGAUCUUUGGUUCAACAAACCAUCCGGAAUACGUCCCUGCCCUUUGUACACACCGCCCGUCGCUCUUACCGAUAGACUUCUCUGUGAGUUUGAGGGACUGGAUAACUUAUACUUCUAUGGAAACUUAAACGAACAGUGUGGUCCAAAGGAAAGAGAAGUCGAACAAGGCA
RNAcentral lists this ribosomal RNA (3149 nucleotides) under Leptohyalis scotti. RNAcentral's name for it is "SSU rRNA". The stretch from base 853 to 3149 matches the Rfam family "Eukaryotic small subunit ribosomal RNA". The record is from RNAcentral. Lineage: Eukaryota; Foraminifera; Textulariida; Hormosinidae.